Molecule: ribosomal RNA, 368 nt
Filed under: uncultured eukaryote
Lineage: Eukaryota
Description: partial 18S ribosomal RNA
Rfam family: Eukaryotic small subunit ribosomal RNA
Source: RNAcentral
CAGUAGCGUAUAUUAUAGUUGUUGCAGUUAAAAUGCUCGUAGUUGAAGUUCGGAUGCAGCAGAGCUUGGAAACGCUGUUAUGGUGCUUCCGUUGCUUUUGCUUGUCCACAGUGCGUUGCAAGUACGUAUGUGCUUGUGCGUGCAUUUUACUUUGAGAAACAUAGGGUGUUCCACGCAUGUUACGGCAUGAAUAUUCCAGCAUGGGAUAAUCUGGUACGACUUCCAAUCUGCCAUUUUGGUUCGUAGGUUGGAAGUAGUGAUUAAUAGGGACUGUCGGGGGCAUUGGUAUUUGACUGUCAGAGGUGAAAUUCUGAGAUUCGUUGAGGACCAACCACUGCGAAAGCAUUUGUCAAGGAUGUCUCCAUUAA